UUCUUACUUUGGCAGUAGUAUACUAAAAUUGCAAGGAUACAGAGGAUUAGCAUGGCCCCUGCUCAAGGUUGAUACACAAAUUCAUGAAGCGUUCCAUAUUUUU
This is a small nuclear RNA of Bos grunniens (domestic yak), 103 nucleotides long. The record is from Ensembl. Lineage: Eukaryota; Metazoa; Chordata; Mammalia; Artiodactyla; Bovidae.